AUUGGUUAGUUUUUGACCAGUAUUAAAGUAACCAACUGAUAAUGGUAUACUUAUUGCAAAGAUCUGUACUUUAUUUUUAGUUGAGCUAUUCAGACACGAGGCUUAACAAGUAUAUCCCGGAUGUGGACACAGGGAGCCCACAUCAUUACACUUAUAAAUACCCAUUCUUAUUGGUUGAUUUAACCAAUGAUGAAAUGGUUGAUAUUUUCACGGCAAGUCCAACAGGUCAAAAGAACCAAAAGAAAUUGGUUAAAAAACAUAUUUUUUGACUUAUUUCAAAUAAAUUUAGAUUAUUUCAUAAUCAUGAUUUGUUAGAUCAUAGUUCUUAGUCAGCGGUCGGAGGUGACUCUGUAAAGAAUACAUUGGAUGGAAACUCCAUUGGCUUCACAGGUUGAAUAAGUUCAUUGGUAAUUUUCAUGUUCAAAAACCAAAUGACUUAUCAUGAGAGAUGUUCUAAAUAUGAUGGCGUUUAGCGUUUUCCUGCUUUAUGUCAACAGUGAAGCAUUGUAAAUAUUCUCCUGAUUCGCUCUGAAAAGAAACUCGCGGNAAUUAUCGUGAAACUUGGACUUUUGAAAGUUGAUCUGUUUACCUUCUGCUGUACUAAUGUCAACAGGGAGCAUUUCUUGGGUUCUGAUUCGUCGUUCUUGUGAUUAACCAGGAAUCAAAACCACGAUAGCAAACAAUCUCGGUCUCUUUCUUUUCAANUCUCGGACGAGUUAACAGCAAGAGUUUAGGAAAUGUUUGUUUUCAAUAUAACCGUUUCUAAAUAGGUUAAAUCAAAUGCUAACUACAGAAGAUGUUCUAGAGUACUAGUUUCUUAGAGGAUCGAACCUCAAGUCUUCAGUGACGCAUCAAAACUAAGGAAACCAAGUUGACGGAGAGAACCUCGUUGGCUUCGAGAUGCUUGACAUCAACGAAAUGGCCCUCCAUGAUGAUUCCGGUUCUCAAGAUGCAAAAGAAGUUCAUUUGUGUAUGGCCUGAGCCAAGUCACAGACAAGGACCAAAUAAGCCUGCAAACUCCACUAAAAUCAAAACACCGAAGGAGUUCAAGUCAAGCGUUAAGGUGGCACAAGAGAACAUUUUAAGCUUGUCCAAGAUACCAUACUAUUAAAUGGUUUUCAAAUAUUUACCAUAUCAGAGACCUGGGCUGAUUUAUCUGUCAGCAAUGCAUGCCUCGAAAUCCCAGGUUAUCAAUUAUUCAGACAGGAUCGUGGACCACAGAAAUCCGGACGUGGGCUAUGCACUUGCGUACUGAACGAUCUCAAAGCAACUGUGUUUUGAAAGAUCUUACUAUGGUUUCUGAAGAUGGCUUUCAACAACAAUGGCUAAAAAUACAGUGCAGAAGUUUCAAAUCCUUUUUGGACCUAGCACAUCAAUCAACUGACUUNAAUCGCCUUAGCUAAAUGCCUGGUUGACUCAUCGCUGCUAAACCUCGACACUAUAUUACUUGGAGACUUAAAUUGAAAAUUAAGUCUAAAUUGUUGAAAGAUUUCAUCUUAACUUUUAACUUGUGUGAAAUGGUUGAAAAACCAACAGAGUGACUGAGGCUUCACAAUCUCUAAUUGAUGUAAUUAUGACUACAGAUACAUCUAUGGUGUGCGUCUGUGAUGUAUUAAUCAGUUUUAUCAGUGAUGAUGUUUUAUGAGUCCGGUGAGUCGUGAGUCGUGAGUCGUGAGUCGUGAGUCGUGAGUCGUGAGUCGUGAGUCGUGAGUCGAAUAAAAUAAAUUAUAAUAUCUCUUGUGAAAAUUAUCAAAAAUGGUACCGCUAUUGAAGUUAUAGCGGCAAUGGACUGCUUCUGUCUCUUCCAGUAUUUCAUGUGUCUAGCUUUAUUGUCUAGCCAACUGAACACUAACACAGUAAACCAAAAACAUCAGAUNAAANUAAUCCAGCCAAAAAUUUUAAUAUUAGAUUCUCUGCUGAUUUGCUGCAUGUAUUUUUAAACUUACCCUUGAACUGAAAUCCAUUUCUUACUAUUGAAUUGUUUCAAAACACCAACCAACUUAGACUUUUCGAAAUUUCGAAAUUUCGAACCAUCCACUGGACUUGUACUCCAACUCGACUCUAAUGUUGUUCAAAUUUGAACCGAUAAUCGAUAUUUCAUGCACCGAAAAUUGAACUACGAUAUCUCUACUACUAACAGGUAACCAAACUCAAUAGGUUUUGAGAUAAUACCUGUUUUUAUUAGAACAUCUCACUGCAAAGCUGCACGAAUACUCGCCGAUUGGUUUAUUUGCUUCAGUCUAUCCCCACACUUUAGCCCUGCUAUAGAUGGUGGCCACUGAAUCCUUCUAUACAAACGGUAGCGAUAUUCUAUCCCAGAUCGUUUGGUGGUAUUCCAACAACUAGAAUAUAAAAUAUNAUUAAUUUUCCUAUUUGACUCAUGACUCAGUGACUCAUGCGACUCAUUCGAACGUCUUUCUCGAUGGUGAUGAUUUCUGCAAUGAUCUUGCCUUGGUUCCAUUCCAUAUGGUUUCCUUUUUCGAUGAUUUUGAUGACCAAGUUGAUGCCUUUAACAUGUUGUUUACAGAUAUCUUAAAUCAGCAUGCUCCUGUGAAAAGGAUGAAACUAAAAGCCAGACCCAAUCCAUUUGUGACAGCUGAAAUUCGACAUUUGAUGAAUACUCGUGACCGGUGGCAUAAG
Molecule: long non-coding RNA, 2640 nt
Filed under: Actinia tenebrosa (Australian red waratah sea anemone)
Lineage: Eukaryota; Metazoa; Cnidaria; Anthozoa; Actiniaria; Actiniidae
Description: uncharacterized LOC116288881
Source: RNAcentral